GGUCGAUGAUGUGAUGUAAAAGGUCUGAAGCCCUGAUCUCCGCCUCAGCGGCCAUUUUGGCUCCCAGCAGCCCCCGCUCUUCGCCCGGCGUGGCUCGAGUGAGGCGGCGCCGGUCGCGGGGGGCCGCUGACACACACAGGAUGUGACAUCACAGAGCCGGCGAGAGACUCCGCCGGCUCGCCGCGAUGACGCACAUCCAACACGAGCGACCAGCAGGGGGCGUGUGGCGCUGGGGGCGGGGCCUGGCCGGUGAUCUCACACCUCCACUGAGACC
Non-coding RNA from Myripristis murdjan (pinecone soldierfish), 274 nucleotides. Ensembl annotates it as small Cajal body-specific RNA 6. The record is from Ensembl. NCBI's taxonomy places the organism in Eukaryota, Metazoa, Chordata, Actinopteri, Holocentriformes, Holocentridae.